CCAACAGAAGAAGAGGAAUUUAUUGUCUAGUUAUGUACAGUGCAUCCUAUUAGUGAAAAGGCGGAAGACAGUUAACGCUGAUCCAGAUGCCUUAGUGAGACAGAGCUUGUCUCCCAUUCAACUGGAGCCCCCUACUGGAAGAUGCGGAUGCAGACCGAUGGGGCCCGUCAGAAGAUGAACGCAAGGAGCCGAUUCCGCAACCAGGAAGCCUAUUAGAGAAGUGCCAUUUAUGUCUCCCUUUCUUAUUUUUUGUCUGUUUCCUGUAUCCUCCCUACGCUAACAUAACUAAAACUUAUCUUCUCCUCCCCAUCCUCUUCCUCCAUUUUACUCUUUCCUGAUCUAAUUGCUUAAAUUGUCUUCAUUUUCUUAAUCGAUUUGUUCAUCUCAUCUUCGUUUAAUGUUUGUGUUUAUGUCAAUUUCUCGAAUUAUUUGUGUUUAUUGUGUUGAGUUUUUACUAAUUUUGUUCUAGCUGUAUAUUUUCAGGUUCCCGGACGGGGGACGACGCUGGAGGACGACGCUGGAGGACGACGUUGGAGGACCAAGGCCGGCCAACAGAAGAAGAGGAAUUUAUUGUCUAGUUAUGUACAGUGCAUCCUAUUAGUGAAAAGGCGGAAGACAGUUAACGCUGAUCCAGAUGCCUUAGUGAGACAGAGCUUGUCUCCCAUUCAACUGGAGCCCCCUACUGGAAGAUGCGGAUGCAGACCGAUGGGGCCCGUCAGAAGAUGAACGCAAGGAGCCGAUUCCGCAACCAGGAAGCCUAUUAGAGAAGUGCCAUUUAUGUCUCCCUUUCUUAUUUUUUGUCUGUUUCCUGUAUCCUCCCUACGCUAACAUAACUAAAACUUAUCUUCUCCUCCCCAUCCUCUUCCUCCAUUUUACUCUUUCCUGAUCUAAUUGCUUAAAUUGUCUUCAUUUUCUUAAUCGAUUUGUUCAUCUCAUCUUCGUUUAAUGUUUGUGUUUAUGUCAAUUUCUCGAAUUAUUUGUGUUUAUUGUGUUGAGUUUUUACUAAUUUUGUUCUAGCUGUAUAUUUUCAGGUUCCCGGACGGGGGACGACGCUGGAGGACGACGCUGGAGGACGACGUUGGAGGACCAAGGCCGGCCAACAGAAGAAGAGGAAUUUAUUGUCUAGUUAUGUACAGUGCAUCCUAUUAGUGAAAAGGCGGAAGACAGUUAACGCUGAUCCAGAUGCCUUAGUGAGACAGAGCUUGUCUCCCAUUCAACUGGAGCCCCCUACUGGAAGAUGCGGAUGCAGACCGAUGGGGCCCGUCAGAAGAUGAACGCAAGGAGCCGAUUCCGCAACCAGGAAGCCUAUUAGAGAAGUGCCAUUUAUGUCUCCCUUUCUUAUUUUUUGUCUGUUUCCUGUAUCCUCCCUACGCUAACAUAACUAAAACUUAUCUUCUCCUCCCCAUCCUCUUCCUCCAUUUUACUCUUUCCUGAUCUAAUUGCUUAAAUUGUCUUCAUUUUCUUAAUCGAUUUGUUCAUCUCAUCUUCGUUUAAUGUUUGUGUUUAUGUCAAUUUCUCGAAUUAUUUGUGUUUAUUGUGUUGAGUUUUUACUAAUUUUGUUCUAGCUGUAUAUUUUCAGGUUCCCGGACGGGGGACGACGCUGGAGGACGACGCUGGAGGACGACGUUGGAGGACCAAGGCCGGCCAACAGAAGAAGAGGAAUUUAUUGUCUAGUUAUGUACAGUGCAUCCUAUUAGUGAAAAGGCGGAAGACAGUUAACGCUGAUCCAGAUGCCUUAGUGAGACAGAGCUUGUCUCCCAUUCAACUGGAGCCCCCUACUGGAAGAUGCGGAUGCAGACCGAUGGGGCCCGUCAGAAGAUGAACGCAAGGAGCCGAUUCCGCAACCAGGAAGCCUAUUAGAGAAGUGCCAUUUAUGUCUCCCUUUCUUAUUUUUUGUCUGUUUCCUGUAUCCUCCCUACGCUAACAUAACUAAAACUUAUCUUCUCCUCCCCAUCCUCUUCCUCCAUUUUACUCUUUCCUGAUCUAAUUGCUUAAAUUGUCUUCAUUUUCUUAAUCGAUUUGUUCAUCUCAUCUUCGUUUAAUGUUUGUGUUUAUGUCAAUUUCUCGAAUUAUUUGUGUUUAUUGUGUUGAGUUUUUACUAAUUUUGUUCUAGCUGUAUAUUUUCAGGUUCCCGGACGGGGGACGACGCUGGAGGACGACGCUGGAGGACGACGUUGGAGGACCAAGGCCGGCCAACAGAAGAAGAGGAAUUUAUUGUCUAGUUAUGUACAGUGCAUCCUAUUAGUGAAAAGGCGGAAGACAGUUAACGCUGAUCCAGAUGCCUUAGUGAGACAGAGCUUGUCUCCCAUUCAACUGGAGCCCCCUACUGGAAGAUGCGG
This is a long non-coding RNA of Saccostrea cuccullata (small rock oyster), 2339 nucleotides long. RefSeq lists it as uncharacterized. The record is from RefSeq and is a predicted model, not a curated record. The transcript is spliced from 10 exons. NCBI's taxonomy places the organism in Eukaryota, Metazoa, Mollusca, Bivalvia, Ostreida, Ostreidae.